Molecule: long non-coding RNA, 4069 nt
Organism: Mercenaria mercenaria
Lineage: Eukaryota; Metazoa; Mollusca; Bivalvia; Venerida; Veneridae
Exons: 3
Source: RefSeq, a predicted model, not a curated record
GACGCGAAAUACCCAUAUUAAUUCACAGAAGAGUCUGUGCGUCUUCGUAGAAUAUUCAUUUCUUCUUCCUGUCUGCCAAGUUUAAGCUACUACAGCUUGUACUGUUGUUGAUAUUUAUGAUGUCCAUCGUAGAAGAAUGGUGGAAAUUGACUGUUUUGUUCAUUCAUAAUUGUAAUUUCAUGAAAAGUUUGUGCAGCAAGACCACAUCAACAGUAAGGCUAUUAAACUGUUAGGUCACAGAGAACAUGUCUUCUGGUUAGAGAAUAUGCGAUGCACAUUAUGAAAAUAUUUGUUUAAACGCAUACGCUUAUGGACAAUCCUAUGAACUCGAAAAGUGGCAAUCCCGGAAAAAAACAUGAACAAAAAUGUAAUAACUUGAAUAAGAAAAAGGCGCGGUGCAGAUGUCAGUAUUUGAUAAAGGUAUUUUAACUACAUGGGAUAACUACUUGAGAUUAUUUCUAAUUGCAGAAUUACACGGUGUUACACUUACCAAGAAAAAUAUUCCGUUUCAGAAGUUGCAAAAGAAGAUAUGCCACACCACGUCUUUCAGCAGACAGGCAAGAGAAAAAAGUGAAAGUGGAACCAAAGGUUAGAAAACCUGAAUACGAAGUAGCUGAUACAGCAAAUUUACUUGCUGAAAUAUCGACUGACAUCUGACACGUACAAAGGCCGCAGUAAGUGAAGGGACACUAAAGAUCAUGUACACCAUCAGAAGUCCUUCGGAUGUGAUUUUAAAUCGAGUUCCCGUGCGGGAAACGAUUCCAUGUUAAUUAUUACAGACGGGGAGCUGCGUGCGGGAAACGUUCCAUAUUAAUUAUUUCAGACGGGGAGCUGCGUGCGGGAAACGUUUCCAUGUUAAUUAUUUCAGACAGGGAGCUACGUGCGUGGAAACGUUCCAUAUUAAUUGUUUCAGACAGGGAGCUGCGUGCGGGAAACGUUUCCAUGUUAAUUAUUUCAGACAGGGAGCUACGUGCGGAAAACGUUCCGUAUUAAUUAUUUCAGACAGGGAGCUGCGUGUUGGAAACGUGUCCAUGUUAAUUAUUUCAAACAGGGAGCUGGGUUUGGUAUACUUGGACUCAUAGUUAUUUCAAAUAUGAUCAGCAUCUAUGUCCGCCAUCAUGUUGAUAUAGUUCCUCGAUUGCUAAAGGUUUGGGUGGUGGAGCUUAUCAAAUGGCAUUAUAUUGGACAAAGACGAGCACUCGGGUACGGAACCAACAAGGCAGCUAGAGGAUUUUCUCACAUUUACAUUUUCUACAAUUUUACGAAAAAUGUUACUCCUUUCAAGCAAAUAUUGACACUAUACGCCUUUUAGACUUAGGUGUUUAAUGCUAAAUAAAAUAGUGUUUGAAUUAGUGUAGUUAGAUUGGAGUGAAUGAACAGCGACAGAAACUCGAUGAUUGGAUGAUUUCUCUUGAUGAGAAUGACUGGAUAAACAAGGUGAAUGAAUGCAAGACUAUACAAGGUGAAUGAAUGCAAGGCUAUACAAGGUGAAUGAAUGCAAGACUAUACAAGCUGAAUGCAUGCAAGACUAUACAAGGUGAAUGAAUGCAAGACUAUACAAGGUGAAUGAAUGCAAGACUAUACAAGCUGAAUGCAUGCAUGAAAUUGAAUUAGUGGAUAAACGUAUGAAUAAACAAGUUUAAUAAAUGAAUUAAUGUGUUUAAUGAAUUAAUAAAGGAAAAGUUGAUAGGUUGAUUGAUCAAAUUAAUGAAGAACUUUAGAGAACGAAAGAGUACACUAACUUAGUGAAUGAAAGAAUGUAUUGGUAAAAGAAAGACUGAAAGAAUGUAAGAAAUUAAUCAGAUGAACAAAUGAACAUUUGUGUUGAAUGAAUGAACAAAUUAAUGAAUGAGUGGGAGAAUGAAUGAAUGAGCAUUGUGAAUUAGUCAAUUUAAGACUAAAUGGCUGAAAGUAUGAAUGAACUAGAAGAUGCUUUUGUAGAAAAGCGCAUGUCUCCGCCCACCCCCCACACCCAAUGCAUAGUAGUAAUAAACAUGAAGUCAAUAGGGGACAGGAGCAAAAGUCCAAGGGACACCGAUGGUUGGCUGCAAUAAGAAUCAUCUACUCGGCAUGUCUAAUCAUCCCAAAAAGUUUCAACAUUCUUGGCCUAGUGGUUCUCAAAUAUUGGAUUGGAAACUGUUUUUCAUGUUCUGGCUCCUGUGACCUUGACCUUUGAUCGAGUGACCCCAAAAUCAAUGGGGGUCAUCUACUCUGCAUGUCCAAUCAUCCUAUGAAGUGUAAAGGUUCUGGGUCAAAUGGUUCUGAAGUUAUUGAUUAGAAAUGGUCAACAUUCUGGGCCAAGUGGUUCUCAAGUUACUGAUCGGAGUUUCCCAUGUUCAGGUCCCUAUGACAUUGAUCUUUGCUCAAGUGACCCUAAAAUCAAUAGGGGUCAUCCACUCUUAAGUCCCAUCACCCUAUUUAAGUUUGAAGGGUCUGGGUCAAAUGGUUUUCCAAUUUCUGGCCCCUGUGACCUUGAACUUUGAUCAAGUGACCCAAAAAACUAUAGGGGUCAUCUUGUCUACGUUUCCAAUCACCCUAUGAAGUUUCAGCAUUCUGGGUCAAGCGAUUCUCAAGUUAUUGAUCAGAAACGGUUUUCCAUGUUCAGGCCCCUUUGAACUUGACCUUUGAUAGAGUAAUGCCAAAAAUAAUAGGGGUCAUCUACUUUGUAAGCCUCAUCACCCGAUGAAGUUUGAAGGUUCUAGGUCAAAGGAGACAUAAUAAACAAGGUGACUAAUAUUAUGUGAAAUAGAUAAAUAUGCACUUUUUUUUUGCUUUAACAUCACACUGGCACAAUUAUUUGUGGUAUGGUGACACUCCAGCUUUUCAUAGUGGAGGUAGACACUGGGUGUCCAUCCAAUCACUUUUUCUAGCACAGGUCGACACCUGGGUUGAACCACUGACCUAGCAAGCUGGAAGGCUUCCUCACAAAUGCAGACUGAAAGUAAAACACAAAAGACAAUCAUGUUCUAUAGAAUUUUUAUUUUUUCAUGUAUAAUUAUGUACAUGACUGAAUACACGAUCUAGAUCUAGGGCAUAUUAACAGAUAAACUUAUAAAAUUCAACUUAGUACAGUAGUCUAGACUAUGAAAUUGACAAUUAUUUGCCACUUUGAACAGUAUUAUAAAAUGUCAGAACAAUAUAAAACAAAGUAAUACAAAAAUAUUCCAUUUAGAAGAAUGUGUUUUAUGUUAAUGUCUUUUUACCUCAUUAAUGACAAAAGUGGUUAAAAAAAUUCAUGAAACAGCAUGUUUCAAUAUGGCAACUAAAAAUGAAUGCAAGCACAAUACAGUGAAACACUGCUCGCAUGGGCAUUCAUGACUGGAGCACUCGGGUUUACUUGAUCAAGUCGUACGUCCCAACUGUUUUCCUUAAGUUGUAAUUUGUUUGCAUCACUUGUAACCCUGGAUAGCUUUAUCCUUUUGAUCAUCUUGCUACCUCGAACAAUGUUUUUAUGUACUUAGCAAUACUGUAGUCUACAGUUACAACCAAAGUACUUUGGUUAAUGGUCAAUACAAAAUAAAAAGAAUUUUGGACUUACUUUUUUUUAACUAAUCAGUAUGCAUUUUUUUCUGAAUUUGUAUCAAUUUCCUAAUAACUUAUUUUCUACAGAGGAACACUUUCAUGAAAGCUUUUUGAAUAAAGAUAAGGAAACAAGAACUAAAAUUUACUAGGAACUUUAAACAACUAACAGGCUAUCAUGUUACAUACUAAAGUGCACUUAAAGAAAUGUACCACUAUUUAAAAAGUGUUGCUGAAAUUAUCUUCAUGGCCCAUAUUGAUCAACAUUGCAGUCUGAAAUCUAUAUAUAGAAUAUAAAAUUCCAAUAUCAUGUUUGCUCUUUGAAAGUUUCAAGCUUAUCUGAACCACUCCCAAGUUCCCUUCCUGAAAAAAACCAGUGCUGGUAUCAUAUAAGAAGGCUUGAUAGUGACCCAAGUGGAGCUCAAACCUAUGAACAAGGGUCAUUAGACCACUGCUCCCCUAUUUUGUACUCUGCCCUUUAAGUUUGAAUUUCAGACUUGUAAUCUGAAUGUUAAAAAGUAUGGGCCAUAUUUUAAUAUGAAUCUAAAAC